Molecule: long non-coding RNA, 473 nt
Filed under: Anser brachyrhynchus (Pink-footed goose)
Lineage: Eukaryota; Metazoa; Chordata; Aves; Anseriformes; Anatidae
Description: lncRNA (ENSABRG00000010571.1)
Source: RNAcentral
CAAACUCCCAGUUGCAAAGCCUCCUACACAGCCUUUGCAAAGAACCGCUCAGAGGAGAACUUCAAACAAAGGAGUGCAAUAUCAUGGCAACAUUUUGUGAGAUCAAUAUUGCAGAUAAAUGCUACACAUUCAUCUCUUCAGGUGGAUCAGCAAGCUGAUCUUCCUUUCUACAUGGCCACGAUUGCUAGGCCAGCAUGAAAGAUGCUAUGAGUGCACCGGUGGAAGCAAGAACAUGACUUCCUCUUUUGGCAACAGCAGAGUUUUAGAUCAGCUUCAGCAGGCAGCAGUUCCCCUGUCCUCUGGCAGCUGAUCCCUGAUCCACUGAAGUUAAUGGAAAAUGUUUCACUGAUUUCAAUACAACCACAAUCCGUCUCUGAUCCAAACACGAUUAAUAUGGGAAAAAUAUUGCAAACAGUUGAAAGACAAAUGUACAAAAUAACACGUAAGCUUCGACGUAUCACUUCGAUGCAAAG